ACCUCUUUUAGAAAGACCUAGCAUCUAGCAUAAGCUGCAAUUUCAUGGACGCUAGAAACCAGCGGCAGCGUCAAAGCAAAGCUGUCUGCUGUCAGCUGUGGUUGUGUUGUGGUGAGACUGGUGAGUAACGAAACGCAACUCGAGUGAUGUCAUCCGGGAGUUGCCAUUCUCCUAAUCAGUGAAGAGGUUAUGCUAUCGUCGUCAGAAGCAAGGAAGACAAGAGAAACGUAGCUGGUGGCAAGUACAACUGGAAACACAUCAAGGAUGUUCUCAAGCGGGCCAAACUAUACCAAGUUGAAGACGCAUUUGCGUCUAGCGAUCAACCGGUUGAAAUUGCUGGAAAA
This is a long non-coding RNA of Temnothorax curvispinosus, 344 nucleotides long. RefSeq lists it as uncharacterized. NCBI's taxonomy places the organism in Eukaryota, Metazoa, Arthropoda, Insecta, Hymenoptera, Formicidae. The transcript has 3 exons. The record is from RefSeq and is a predicted model, not a curated record.